CUACGGGUCGCAGCAGUGGGGAAUUUUGCGCAAUGGGGGAAACCCUGACGCAGCAAUACCGCGUGAGUGAAGAAGGCCUUUGGGUCGUAAAGCUCUUUUCUUGGGGAAGAUAGUGACGGUACCCAAGGAAUAAGCACCGGCUAACUCCGUGCCAGCAGCCGCGGUAAUACGGAGGGUGCAAGCGUUGUUCGGAUUUACUGGGCAUAAAGGGCACGUAGGCGGCACAGCAAGUUAAGGGUGAAAUCCCGGGGCUCAACUCCGGAACUGCUCUUAAAACUGCUGAGCUAGAGAUAGUCAGAGGCGGGUGGAAUUCCAGGUGUAGAGGUGAAAUUCGUAGAUAUCUGGAGGAACACCGGUGGCGAAGGCGGCCCGCUGGGGCUAUUCUGACGCUAAGGUGCGAAAGCGUGGGGAGCAAACGGGAUUAGAUACCCCGGUAGUC
RNAcentral lists this ribosomal RNA (439 nucleotides) under uncultured bacterium. Its description in RNAcentral is "partial 16S ribosomal RNA". It matches the Rfam family "Bacterial small subunit ribosomal RNA", at positions 339 to 795 of the family's 1533-position model. The record is from RNAcentral.